This 353-nucleotide ribosomal RNA is filed under the name Shigella flexneri. Its description in RNAcentral is "bacterial LSU rRNA". It matches the Rfam family "Bacterial large subunit ribosomal RNA", at positions 980 to 1331 of the family's 2925-position model. The record is from RNAcentral. Lineage: Bacteria; Pseudomonadati; Pseudomonadota; Gammaproteobacteria; Enterobacterales; Enterobacteriaceae.
GGAGACACACGGCGGGUGCUAACGUCCGUCGUGAAGAGGGAAACAACCCAGACCGCCAGCUAAGGUCCCAAAGUCAUGGUUAAGUGGGAAACGAUGUGGGAAGGCCCAGACAGCCAGGAUGUUGGCUUAGAAGCAGCCAUCAUUUAAAGAAAGCGUAAUAGCUCACUGGUCGAGUCAGCCUGCGCGGAAGAUGUAACGGGGCUAAACCAUGCACCGAAGCUGCGGCAGCGACGCUUAUGCGUUGUUGGGUAGGGGAGCGUUCUGUAAGCCUGUGAAGGUGUGCUGUGAGGUAUGCUGGAGGUAUCAGAAGUGCGAAUGCUGACAUAAGUAACGAUAAAGCGGGUGAAAAGCCC